Molecule: ribosomal RNA, 432 nt
Filed under: uncultured bacterium
Lineage: Bacteria
Description: bacterial SSU rRNA
Rfam family: Bacterial small subunit ribosomal RNA
Source: RNAcentral
AACGAACGCUGGCGGCAGGCCUAACACAUGCAAGUCGAGCGCCCCGCAAGGGAGCGGCGCACGGGUGAGUAACGCGUGGGAAUAUGCCCUGGGGCUGGGGAUAACGGCGGGAAACUGCCGCUAAUACCCGGUACGCCAUGAGUGGGAAAGGAGCAAUCCGCCCUGGGAGUAGCCCGCGUUGGAUUAGCUAGUUGGUGUGGUAAGAGCGCACCAAGGCGACGAUCCAUAGCUGGUCUGAGAGGAUGAUCAGCCACACUGGGACUGAGACACGGCCCAGACUCCUACGGGAGGCAGCAGUGGGGAAUAUUGGACAAUGGGGGCAACCCUGAUCCAGCCAUGCCGCGUGAGUGAAGAAGGCCCUAGGGUUGUAAAGCUCUUUCGCACGCGACGAUGAUGACGGUAGCGUGAGAAGAAGCCCCGGCUAACUUCGUG